RNAcentral lists this ribosomal RNA (484 nucleotides) under uncultured bacterium. RNAcentral's name for it is "partial 16S ribosomal RNA". It matches the Rfam family "Bacterial small subunit ribosomal RNA", at positions 30 to 507 of the family's 1533-position model. The record is from RNAcentral.
AUUGAACGCUGGCGGCAGGCCUAACACAUGCAAGUCGAGCGGAUGAAGGGAGCUUGCUCCUGGAUACAGCGGCGGACGGGCGAGUAAUGCCUAGGAAUAUGCCUGGUAGUGGGGGAUAACGUCCGGAAACGGGCGCUAGUACCGCAUACGUCCUGAGGGAGAAAGUGGGGGAUCUUCGGACCUCCCGCCAUCAGAUGAGCCUAGGUCGGAUUAGCUAGUUGGUGGGGUAAAGGCCUACCAAGGCGACGAUCCGUAACUGGUCUGAGAGGAUGAUCAGUCACACUGGAACUGAGACACGGUCCAGACUCCUACGGGAGGCAGCAGUGGGGAAUAUUGGACAAUGGGCGAAAGCCUGAUCCAGCCAUGCCGCGUGUGUGAAGAAGGUCUUCGGAUUGUAAAGCACUUUUAGUUGGGAGGAAGAGCAGUAAGUUAAUACCUUGCUGUUUUGACGUUACCAACAGAAUAAGCACCGGCUAACUUCGUG